This 724-nucleotide ribosomal RNA is filed under the name Grimmia laevigata. RNAcentral's name for it is "eukaryotic LSU rRNA". The stretch from base 325 to 477 matches the Rfam family "5.8S ribosomal RNA". Lineage: Eukaryota; Viridiplantae; Streptophyta; Bryopsida; Grimmiales; Grimmiaceae. The record is from RNAcentral.
UCAUUGCACACACAUUUUGCGAAUGCCAACCCCUUUGCGAACUUUACCACUGUCCCCAACCCCUGGCUCCGGCCAGCCCAAGUCUCCGACCAAACACGGCGAGGAUGCAUCUCCCUUGCCGUGUUUGGUUGGCUGAAAUCGAAACACGGCGAGAGGACGCAUCCUCGCCGUGUUUUUGGUUUUGGCCUAGGGGACUUGGUGUUUUGGGUUCCAACCAAUCAUUGGAUGGCGCAAUGCAUCACUUUCAAUCAUAUGACUGAGUGUACCACGAGGAGAACCACCCACCCCGGGAGUUCUUCGAGUUGUGGAGUGAUAAACUGAAACAACUCUCAGCAACGGAUAUCUUGGCUCCUGCAACGAUGAAGAACGCAGCGAAAUGCGAUACGUAGUGUGAAUUGCAGAAUUCCGCGAAUCAUCGAGUCUUUGAACGCAAGUUGCGCCCGAGGCUUGCCCUGGGGCAUUUUUGUCAGAGCGUCACCGCGACACCCACCGCCCCCCACCCACUCCGUGAGCGUGGGGGUCGAGUGAAAUUGGCCGUCCCAGCGCGCCGCCGCCAGCGGCGGCGGCUGGGUUGGCUGAAAUGGAGUUGGACUUGGGCCCCGCCGCGGCGACACAGCCCGCGAUCAGGUGAUCCCCCGACACAAAGGGGGAGAGUGCGAAAUUGGUUGGCUGUGUUGCCUUGGGUGCCGAAGCAGAAGAGCAGGCAGGCCCCUUUCUGGAAGGA